UUUUAUUUUUCCUUAAAAAAAAUGUAAAGAAUAAGAUGUUUACACACACGUAUUCAUUGAAAAUAUGUUAUUCCUUUUUAACUUGUCCAGUGCGAAAACAAUACAGACCCAAACUCAGACUCCCGUCUUUCCUGAAGAAAAUGAGUUUUUCCAGGCACCCCGAAGAGAGGAUUGUUCCCACCUGCAAUGUAGAAAUGAUGUCAUGGAGAAGGAUUUCAUCAGAAGAGAUUUUUUGAAAAGGGCAACAGACACCAUAAACAAAGGAUUAGCAAUACAAACAAUAGACUUUCACCCGCUUUUUGCUUCGGUCAUAUGCUAAUUAUGCCUGGCGUACUGAAAAAGCGGGAGCAACAGUCAGUCCUGGACAAGGUUGUUUAAACAAAUUCAAACCCCUCCAUGUGCUUCUGCGACUACAUUUUCCACUUGAAUAGCCACAAGUCCGAAUCCUGCUCCUCCAUCUGAGGGGAACUUCUCAUUAGAUAUUCCACCCUUAAUCCGUCCCAGCUGCUGAGGCCGGAUUUGUUUCAGCUGUCCCGAGAGACAGAGGGUCCCAGAUGCGAAACAAGACUUUCAGAGCAGAUGGCAUCUUGUGAAAGAUUCAGAUCACCCCCACUUCUCUAAUAGACUCUUUUAAGUUAUUUUAAGCUUUGUUAUUUAUAUAACUUAUAAAUUAUUGUAAAUUAAAAAUUCUGAUUGCUGGUGUCUUUUUAAAUAGCACAUCCUUACAUCCUGUUUUACAAGACUAUCUAGAGCAGAGGG
This is a long non-coding RNA of Cyprinus carpio carpio, 759 nucleotides long. NCBI's taxonomy places the organism in Eukaryota, Metazoa, Chordata, Actinopteri, Cypriniformes, Cyprinidae. The record is from Ensembl.